GCAUAUCUGUAAGUGCAAAUGUGUGAGAAAAUCAGUAGAAACUCCAUUAGAAUGAUAUCCGCCGGCUGUUUUCAAUCAAAUAAAAAAAACUCAACAUUUUAUUUCUGUUGAACAAAUAGGAAAGUACAUAAGGAAGAACAAAAAAGGAAGUAUCUCUACUUGGUGUGCUUACAAGAGCAAAAGCUUUAGCUCUUAAACGUGUACCGACGAUGAUGGUGGCGGCAACGAUGAUAGCGGUGGAGGAUUAGGUAACGGCGAUGAUGUUGGGUCCUACCUAUAGCGGAGGAGAGGUAGUUUGGUUAAAACCCUUUAUGGUUCUUGAAGGAAGAAAGCAAAAAAAAAAAAUGGGGUUUCCAAAAAUGCAAACCCUAAGGACCGUGGAGAGAAUUUGAAGGUAGAAAAAGGUGCGGGGUUUUAUUUUUUCUGUUUUUCAAAAUUUACAAAAAAAUCUUAUGCUUUGUUUGGUUGCAAAAUUUAUAAAAUUUUUGAGGAAUUUUGUGUUUGGUGUUUACUAAUUUGCAUGUUUAUAUAUCUUGCUUUGUAAAGAUUAGAGCUUUAUGCAGUAUGUGGAGUCAUCCUGCUAUAUUUUUCUUUAAAAGAAUUUUCAUUUUUUACUGUUUUUGUGUUGUGUUUUUGCUUCAAAUUAUUUGUCAUCACUAAUUUUUUUUUGCUGUUUGUUGCAAAAAUAGAUUAAAGAAUGUUAUUAAUUUAUUUAUUUUCACUAUUUAUUAGAGAGGGUAGUCUCUAAUAAUUAUACAUGUCACAAUGAAACAUAAUGUGACAUCAAAAUAACAUUGUCGUUUAAAAAUAUAUAUAGGUCGACCGUGUUUGUGAUGAUUCGUAAGGAUAAAAUAUAACUACCAAAUUUUACGUUGUCUUGAUAUUGUUCUAUAAAAGCAGGUGGUUAGUUCUAAAAAAAUAUAUGAAACAUCAAAAAACAUGAAAAAAAAAAAUCUAAAAAUCUCAAAAAAAGAAAGAUGAGAUUUAUCUUUGGUUGAGGAGUACAUUGUGGAUGAAUCCGUAGUCCUCUAUAUAUAGAGAAUAUAAUGCUUGUCCCUUAUCAUCUGUCGAUAGGAGUAAUCUGUAAAAUAAAAAUAAAAUCAAUACGAUUAGUAAAAUUUGUCUAGAUCCCCUCUCUAUCCACAUUUAGUUCCUUUUAAUACUAUAAAAUUGACACAAAAUUGUCAAUGAAUAUGCAAUAUGACCCAAAGGUUCAAGGUUCUUGCUAAACCUUUCAGUUAAUUCAGUUAGCAGCGAUAAAGGACAAAGAAACAAAAUCGCCUCUGAACAAUACCCUAAGAGCCGCACUCUCAAGUGUCCAUAGGCUGCAACUCUUCAGAGAAUAUCCGCAGAGACAAUUUGGAAUUUGACACUAAAAAAAAUUAUACCUUCUAAAAGUGACACGUCAAAUAUCGUGUGAAGAGGAAAAUGAAAAUCAUAUCCCUGAAACAAAAAUAAUUCAGAAAUACAACAGAAAGGAUUGUUAACAAAUGAACAUCAAACUGGUUUCAUCCAUAAAAAAAAGGCAGUUCGAUUUCUCUCGGAGAUUGUUUUCGGGGCUUGAACCCAUGACCUCCUAAUCACGUGACAAUAACUUUACCAGUUGCUCCCAGGCUCCCCUUCACCCAUCAAAGAAUAAUACAUUUACAAUCAUCUAUCGAUAGCUAGGUGACUGUCAAAUUUAAUUAUGUUUAAUUUCUUAGUGCUUUAAUUAUUUCAAAAAUUAUUUCUUUAUUAUUUUUAAUUUUCUUACGCACAUAGAAAGUUCAACAUAUAAAAUAAAAAUUUUCUUUCUUAACAAAAACAAAGAGAAUGGUUUCAACAAGGUAAGAAACAUCUUUAAAAGAUCAAAGACACUCAGAUAAUUUAAAAUUAUAAAAAUUACAAAAUAUAAAUACAAUUAAUAAGUUGAAUUAAGACUCUUUGAAGAAUAUUUUUAGCAAUCAAUGUUUUAAAAAAAUAUUUUAUAUAUUUAAUAAGAUAUUUUACAACUGCGCGAAGCACGGUCAAGUUCACUAGUAUAUAUAUAAAAGAGAAUUGUACUCCAUCCUAUGUGGCAUGUCUAAGAAGCCUCAAAUGUCAUUUAUCUUUUUUCUCCCUUUUUUUGAGCUUUUUAAAUUUUUUUAAUUUUUUGCUCUAUUUUUUUAAUGUUAUAAUAAUAAAUGACUCUAUAAUUGAUAUUCCGCAUACCAAUUACAUAGUUUUAUUGUUUCAAUCACCCAAAUUCCUUAUUUAUGAAGGAAAAAGAAUUGGAAAAGUCUUUAGCAAUUUCUAUUUUUUUUCUUUUUUUUUUAAUUUUUUAAUGUCUAAAUAUUUUGGUUAAUUCUUUAUUCUUCUUCAAUAAUUAGUGUGAUUAAUUUGUAUUAGCUUUAUUAACAAAAUGUAUAAACUUUCUAUCUCCCCACGUCAAAGAUGAUCACUAACUUAUUUUUUAACUUUUCAUCUUCUCCUCUAAUUAUUUAUACUUUUUGAUGACAUUCAACCCUUUUCUAUCAAUUGUGGAGGAGAAGUCAUUGCUUCCCUUUAUAGUCCCUAUAAAUUUUUAUCUAUUUAUGUUACGGAGAUUUUUCUUUUCGUAAGUAUCUUUUUUUCUUCUUAAUAUUUUAUACUUACGAGUUAUGGGAUAAUAAUUAUUGUUGUGCACGUUUGAUGUUUUCAGCUUUUCCGCAAAAUGCAUAUGAAUUGUAUUAUUUUAAAAUUUUGAUCUUAUUAAUUUUUUUAGUAUUGCGAUUAUGGGUUGUCAUGUUUUAAAUUUGAUCUUCUUUAUUUUUCUUUCAGGUAUAUGUAAACUCAAAGAAAGUAUUGAAGCAAACAAACA
This 2818-nucleotide long non-coding RNA is filed under the name Capsicum annuum. Its description in RNAcentral is "long non-coding RNA (CANN_LNC000415)". Lineage: Eukaryota; Viridiplantae; Streptophyta; Magnoliopsida; Solanales; Solanaceae. The record is from RNAcentral.